AAUUUUGGACAAUGGGGGAAACCCUGCUCCAGCCAUCCCGCGUGUAUGAUGAAGGCCUUCGGGUCGUAAAGUACUUUUGGCAGCGAAGAACAGGUAUCUCCUAAUACGGGCUACUGCUGACGGUAUCUGCAGAAUAAGCACCGGCUAACUACGUGCCAGCCGCCGCGGUAAUACGUAGGUUGCAAGCGUUAAUCGGAAUUACUGGGCGCAAAGCGUGUGUAGGCGGUGCGGAAAGAAAGAUGUGGAAUCCCAGGGCUCAACCUUGGAACUGCAUUUUUAACUGCCGAGCUAGAGUAUGUCAGAGGGGGGUAGAAUUCCACGUGUAGCAGUGAAAUGCGUAGAUAUGUGGAGGAAUACCGAUGGCGAAGGCAGCCCCCUGGGAUAAUACUGACGCUCAGACACGAAAGCGUGGGUAGCAAACAGG
This 424-nucleotide ribosomal RNA is filed under the name uncultured bacterium. Its description in RNAcentral is "partial 16S ribosomal RNA". It matches the Rfam family "Bacterial small subunit ribosomal RNA", at positions 360 to 776 of the family's 1533-position model. The record is from RNAcentral.